AUUCCGCAUCUCCCCAGCUCUCUUAGGCUUCAUGUGACAGAAGGCAACCACCAAACAUCGGUAGGAAGUACAUACCCCCAGGUGCCCCAUGGGGGACAGUGCAGGAAAGAAAAACUCAUGGUUGCCAGGCUUUCCUUCUUAUUCACAGGAGACUUGCAGAAGACAGCCAUGAGAAAAACCUAAACUGAGGACAUUCUACAAAAUACUUGCUCGUCAGCACUUCUCAGAACUGCUAAGGUUAUGUAUGAGAAACCAGGGAAGACAGAAACAGUCACAAAUCAUAGAUGGAGAAGUAUGACAACCAUCAUAUGGUACCACGGAUGGGACCCUGGCACAGAAAGAGGACAUGACUGGUAAAACAAGUGAAAUCUGAGACACCACGGAACCCUGAUCCCACCUCCUCCUUACCUGCCCCUCAGAUGGAAUCACUCAGGUUCCCAAAUAAGUCCCCUGCAUCCUCGCCUCGGCUCAUGCCAGCCCUUCCUUCUGGAAUGCUGUCCUGGCCACCCGGGCCUGCUGCUUCCCCACCAAGAUGUCCUCAGUCCCUGGGGGAAACGCAAUCCCACCAGCUGCAGCAUCAUCACACACGCCCUUUUCUCGCGGGUGUUCCGGGCUAGGGUCUCACUAGAGUGCAAGUUCCUUCAGGGAAGGGCUGCUUCUCAGUCAUUCUGGCAGCUCACCGACCCCAUCCGUACCUUGGACACAACAGUGAAUAAAUUCUAAAUUCAUGAAUAAAUGAU
Molecule: long non-coding RNA, 740 nt
Organism: Neofelis nebulosa (Clouded leopard)
Lineage: Eukaryota; Metazoa; Chordata; Mammalia; Carnivora; Felidae
Exons: 3
Source: RefSeq, a predicted model, not a curated record